RNAcentral lists this unclassified non-coding RNA (383 nucleotides) under uncultured bacterium. RNAcentral describes it as "contains 16S-23S intergenic spacer region". The record is from RNAcentral.
UCCUAGUUUCCUAGGCAGUCCCAUCAGAGUGCCUCCUUACGGAGUAGCAACUGACGGCAGGAGUUGCGCUCGUUAAAGGACUUAACCCAACAUCUCACGACACGAGCUGACGACAGCCAUGCAGCACCUGUGUAAUUGUCCGGGGUUUCCCCCGAAAAGCUAUAUUUCCAUAGCGAUCAAAAACAUGUCAAGCCUAGGUAAGGUUCCUCGCGUAGUGUCGAAUUAAACCACAUGUUCCACCGCUUGUGCGGACCCCCGUCAAUUUCUUUGAGUUUUAAUCUUGCGACCGUACUCCCCAGGCGGAUCACUUAUCGCGUUAGCUACGACACUAAAUCUGCAAGCAGAUAUAACGUCCAGUGAUCAUCGUUUACAGCGUGGACUAC